Molecule: long non-coding RNA, 660 nt
Filed under: Mustela putorius furo (domestic ferret)
Lineage: Eukaryota; Metazoa; Chordata; Mammalia; Carnivora; Mustelidae
Description: lncRNA (ENSMPUG00000030101.1)
Source: RNAcentral
GUCCCUUGCUUCGAGGUUUCCUGUGGACUUUCUGUAGCUAUAGUACACAUGGUUUGGCAGGGAAGGGUGCAUGCUCUUGAGUCCAGUGACUUAGGCUGCUGUCUUUGCUUAGUCACUUCCUAGCUGAGGGAUCUCGGACAAGUUACUUAACCUCCUUGUACCUCAGUGUACUACUCCUCUCUGAUGGGGAGCAGAGUCAUAGUCCUGGCCUCAUCGGGCUUUAGAGGGUUAAAUGAGUGAAUGCGAGUGAGAUGCUGGGCUUACAUAGUUACUCUUGAGCAGGAGAGCUGGGAGAGUCACGGGCUCUGAUAGUUUUGUAAUUAUGAGAUUGUAGAGGGGGACCUCUUCCCCAGGUGCUGGGAGGAUUACAGCCAAGCCCAGGUUCUGCCUCCUUGACACAUACUUUUUCCCUUGCCCAGUUUACCUUGGCACAAAAGGAUAAUUCAUUGGUAUGUCCACAUCCUGGUCCUCGGCAUAAAUCUCCCCUCCUGGCGCGUGUGGUGACAGCUCCCCAGGUCUCCUGCACUUUCUUCGCCCAGUUUCCCAUUAAUGUUGCCCACACGAAGAAAGGCCUAGUGUGCCUUUCUUCCCCCGAAGCCAUUCUUCUUUGGAGAAGAGCAGGGGACGAGGACAUUUCACCGGUAUCACAUCACACGUGGC